RNAcentral lists this ribosomal RNA (251 nucleotides) under uncultured prokaryote. RNAcentral's name for it is "partial 16S rRNA". It matches the Rfam family "Bacterial small subunit ribosomal RNA", at positions 525 to 775 of the family's 1533-position model. The record is from RNAcentral.
ACGGGGGAUGCAAGCGUUAUCCGGAUUUAUUGGGUUUAAAGGGUGCGUAGGCGGUUUGAUAAGUCAGCGGUGAAAUAUUUCAGCUUAACUGAAAGGGUGCCGUUGAUACUGUCAGGCUUGAAUAUGGUUGAUGUGGGUGGAAUGUGUGGUGUAGAGGUGAAAUGCUUAGAUAUCACGCGGAACACCGGUUGCGAAGGCAACUUACAGGCCCUAUAUUGACGCUGAUGCGCGAGAGUGUGGGGAUCAAACAG